This 517-nucleotide long non-coding RNA is filed under the name Dermacentor andersoni. Its description in RNAcentral is "uncharacterized LOC126529784". Lineage: Eukaryota; Metazoa; Arthropoda; Arachnida; Ixodida; Ixodidae. The record is from RNAcentral.
UCCGAGCUGUCUUUGUUCUGCCGAGCUGCCUGCCCGCGCUCUCGUGAAAAGUCUGGUACUGGGGCUUAGAAUUGUAGUGUUUGGAAGACUGAUGAAGGUUGUGCUUUUGUGGAGCUGGAAUUCAUCGGAAGUUCUACAGUGCUUGCGCCAGAGAAACGUCGGUGCCUCUGUACCUGUUAGACGAAGGAGCGUUUGCCAAGUCUUGAAAGGUAGACAUCGGUGACGGUGUAUACGUUGAAAAGGGCAUGCUGAAGAGGCUGUGCCUGGAUGCUAACAACUCAGGAUUUCACUUCGCGGAGGGCCUCCUUAAAGCUCCUUUUUCAAUAAAAGACGUUGAAGGGAGGUCCUUCUUUGGGCGGCUGUCAAAUGCCCUCCUCAGAAGGAUCCGUUGGAUUCCAAGAAGGUCAACACCAUAGUAGACUACACAACGCAACAUUUCAGCCUACUUCCAGGGCAGCUGGAGAACUCGUCCUCCUUACUAGCCCGGGGAUAUUAAAUGGAUGUGUUCAAGCACAAA